CUAGCUGCGUGAAUUAAUGUGAAUUGCAGAACACAUUGAACAUCGACACCUUGAACGCACAUGGCGGCUUCGGGUUUACCCCGGGGCCACGCCCGUCUGAGGGUCGGUUGGCUAAAGCGAUCGCUACCUUGUCCGUAAAUUUUUUUUUUUGUCCGGUCUCUAUCAUUUCUCGGGCUCUCGCGAGAUUGUGCAUGAGACUGGUACAUCAAAAUAAUUUUGGUAGCGCAUUGGGCCUUCGUGAAUAGCGUACGGUUAGCGCCCUUGCUCUCUGCGCUUCGUCGCAUGUUCUCGUGGCUUUAAGUACAGGAUGCGCCGUCGUCCUAUCUGUCCAACGAGAUGCUGCUCGCCUCGUCGGUGGUCUCUCGCUGCGCGACAGGUACCCGGCUCGUGCUUUAAAAGCGAGCUGUACGGACCUGGGACGCGCGUGAAAUGUUCGGGAGAUGGGCCGCAUAGCAGCGAUUCGUUCGGACUUACGGCGUCCGUCUUACACAUUAAUUUGUGUGGCGUGAAACAUUUUUUAUCCGACCUCAGAUCGGACGAGAUUACCCGCUGAAUUUAAGCAUAUUACUAAGCGGAGGAAAAGAAACUAACAAGGAUUUCCCUAGUAACGG
The sequence is a ribosomal RNA, 611 nucleotides long. The stretch from base 523 to 611 matches the Rfam family "Eukaryotic large subunit ribosomal RNA", at positions 1 to 89 of the family's 3401-position model.